This 49-nucleotide ribosomal RNA is filed under the name Halobacterium salinarum. RNAcentral describes it as "partial 23S ribosomal RNA". Lineage: Archaea; Methanobacteriati; Methanobacteriota; Halobacteria; Halobacteriales; Halobacteriaceae. The record is from RNAcentral.
UCGAGGCAACGAGACGUUUAGCCCGCGAGUACUAACAGGUCAAUGCCAC